RNAcentral lists this ribosomal RNA (454 nucleotides) under Rhipicephalus microplus (southern cattle tick). Its description in RNAcentral is "partial 16S ribosomal RNA". The stretch from base 309 to 454 matches the Rfam family "Bacterial large subunit ribosomal RNA", at positions 2473 to 2619 of the family's 2925-position model. Lineage: Eukaryota; Metazoa; Arthropoda; Arachnida; Ixodida; Ixodidae. The record is from RNAcentral.
GCUCAAUGAUUUUUUAAAUUGCUGUAGUAUUUUGACUAUACAAAGGUAUUGAAAUAAGGUUUUAAUUGAAUGCUAAAAGAAUGGAAUAUCAAAGAAUAACUUCCUUAAAAUUAAAAAUUGAAAUUUUUUUAAUUUGUGUAAAAACAAUUAUAUAAAUUAAAGACAAGAAGACCCUAAGAAUUUUUAAAAUUUAAAUUAACACAUUUUUGUUUUAAUUAAAUUUUAACUGGGGCGGUUAAAAAAUAUUAAAAACUUUUUAAUUUUGAAAAUGACCCAUUAUUAAUGAAAAUAUGAUAAAAUACUCUAGGGAUAACAGCGUUAUAUUUUUUGAUAGAUCAUAUUGACAAAAAAGUUUGCGACCUCGAUGUUGGAUUAGGAUACUUUUUUAAUGAAGAUAUUAAAAUAAGAAGUUUGUUCAACUUUUAAAUUCCUACUUGAUCUGAGUUCAGACCGG